AAAGUCAUCUUUGCGCUUGGGGCAAUGACGCAGCUAAUGAGGUACUAACCGAGGCGCGUCUAUUGCUGGUUGAAAACUAUUUCCAAACCCCCUCCUGGGCCUAAGCUUGUCUUGGGCCUUCGAGAAUUUCUGGAAGGGCUCCCUUUGGGGUAA
RNAcentral lists this small nuclear RNA (153 nucleotides) under Arabidopsis thaliana (thale cress). RNAcentral's name for it is "ncRNA (U4.2)". It matches the Rfam family "U4 spliceosomal RNA". From Rfam's summary of the family: U4 small nuclear RNA (U4 snRNA) is a component of the major U2-dependent spliceosome. The structure of U4 snRNA from yeast and human has been reported. The record is from RNAcentral. Lineage: Eukaryota; Viridiplantae; Streptophyta; Magnoliopsida; Brassicales; Brassicaceae.